Molecule: ribosomal RNA, 504 nt
Filed under: uncultured bacterium
Lineage: Bacteria
Description: partial 16S ribosomal RNA
Rfam family: Bacterial small subunit ribosomal RNA
Source: RNAcentral
AUUGAACGCUGGCGGCAUGCCUUAUACAUGCAAGUCGAACGGCAGCAUGGAGAGCUUGCUCUCUGAUGGCGAGUGGCGAACGGGUGAGUAAUGCAUCGGAACGUACCGUGUAAUGGGGGAUAACGUAGCGAAAGUUACGCUAAUACCGCAUACGACCUGAGGGUGAAAGCAGGGGAUCGCAAGACCUUGCGUUAUACGAGCGGCCGAUGUCAGAUUAGCUAGUUGGUGAGGUAAAGGCUCACCAAGGCGACGAUCUGUAGCGGGUCUGAGAGGAUGAUCCGCCACACUGGGACUGAGACACGGCCCAGACUCCUACGGGAGGCAGCAGUGGGGAAUUUUGGACAAGGGGGGCAACCCUGAUCCAGCCAUGCCGCGUGAGUGAAGAAGGCCUUCGGGUUGUAAAGCUCUUUCGGCCGGGAAGAAAUCGCACAGGCUAAUACUCUGUGUGGAUGACGGUACCGGCAUAAGAAGCACCGGCUAACUACGUGCCAGCCGCCGCAGUAA